RNAcentral lists this small RNA (19 nucleotides) under Arabidopsis thaliana (thale cress). RNAcentral describes it as "ATSL068610". Lineage: Eukaryota; Viridiplantae; Streptophyta; Magnoliopsida; Brassicales; Brassicaceae. The record is from RNAcentral.
AAAAAAAACGAAAAAAAAA